AGAGUUUGAUCCUGGCUCAGGACGAACGCUGGCGGCGUGCCUAAUACAUGCAAGUCGAGCGGACAGAAGGGAGCUUGCUCCCGGAUGUUAGCGGCGGACGGGUGAGUAACACGUGGGUAACCUGCCUGUAAGACUGGGAUAACUCCGGGAAACCGGAGCUAAUACCGGAUAGUUCCUUGAACCGCAUGGUUCAAGGAUGAAAGACGGUUUCGGCUGUCACUUACAGAUGGACCCGCGGCGCAUUAGCUAGUUGGUGGGGUAAUGGCUCACCAAGGCGGCGAUGCGUAGCCGACCUGAGAGGGUGAUCGGCCACACUGGGACUGAGACACGGCCCAGACUCCUACGGGAGGCAGCAGUAGGGAAUCUUCCGCAAUGGACGAAAGUCUGACGGAGCAACGCCGCGUGAGUGAUGAAGGUUUUCGGAUCGUAAAGCUCUGUUGUUAGGGAAGAACAAGUGCGAGAGUAACUGCUCGCACCUUGACGGUACCUAACCAGAAAGCCACGGCUAACUACGUGCCAGCAGCCGCGGUAAUACGUAGGUGGCAAGCGUUGUCCGGAAUUAUUGGGCGUAAAGGGCUCGCAGGCGGUUUCUUAAGUCUGAUGUGAAAGCCCCCGGCUCAACCGGGGAGGGUCAUUGGAAACUGGGAAACUUGAGUGCAGAAGAGGAGAGUGGAAUUCCACGUGUAGCGGUGAAAUGCGUAKAGAUGUGGAGGAACACCAGUGGCGAAGGCGACUUUCUGGUCUGUAACUGACGCUGAGGAGCGAAAGCGUGGGGAGCGAACAGGAUUAGAUACCCUGGUAGUCCACGCCGUAAACGAUGAGUGCUAAGUGUUAGGGGGUUUCCGCCCCUUAGUGCUGCAGCUAACGCAUUAAGCACUCCGCCUGGGGAGUACGGUCGCAAGACUGAAACUCAAAGGAAUUGACGGGGGCCCGCACAAGCGGUGGAGCAUGUGGUUUAAUUCGAAGCAACGCGAAGAACCUUACCAGGUCUUGACAUCCUCUGACAACCCUAGAGAUAGGGCUUUCCCUUCGGGGACAGAGUGACAGGUGGUGCGUGGUUGUCGUCAGCUCGUGUCSUGAGAUGUUGGGUUAAGUCCCGCAACGAGCGCAACCCUUGAUCUUAGUUGCCAGCAUUCAGUUGGGCACUCUAAGGUGACUGCCGGUGACAAACCGGAGGAAGGUGGGGAUGACGUCAAAUCAUCAUGCCCCUUAUGACCUGGGCUACACACGUGCUACAAUGGACAGAACAAAGGGCUGCAAGACCGCAAGGUUUAGCCAAUCCCAUAAAUCUGUUCUCAGUUCGGAUCGCAGUCUGCAACUCGACUGCGUGAAGCUGGAAUCGCUAGUAAUCGCGGAUCAGCAUGCCGCGGUGAAUACGUUCCCGGGCCUUGUACACACCGCCCGUCACACCACGAGAGUUUGCAACACCCGAAGUCGGUGAGGUAACCUUUAUGGAGCCAGCCGCCGAAGGUGGGGCAGAUGAUUGGGGUGAAGUCGUAACAAGGUAACC
RNAcentral lists this ribosomal RNA (1510 nucleotides) under Bacillus sp. SaMS2. Its description in RNAcentral is "bacterial SSU rRNA". It matches the Rfam family "Bacterial small subunit ribosomal RNA". Lineage: Bacteria; Bacillati; Bacillota; Bacilli; Caryophanales; Bacillaceae. The record is from RNAcentral.